GGAACUUCCCCUUCUGGUUCUGCAUCAAGACAGCCUCGUUGAAACACCAACUAGCUUCAUCGGACAUAUUCACCAUGAUAUGGCAGCUCUGUCAGCACUGAGGUCUCAAAUAUGUACAGGGAGAAGAUGAUCUUCCUCAUCCUGCUGCUCCUCUUCCUCACCCCCUGUGUCUCUGGAACAUUUUUAGUGAAUGUGACUCAGAGUUCCUAUCAGGCAGAGGGGAACCAGGACAUCACCCUGGAGUGGACCUUCAGCUCCAGAACAGACACUAACUUCAGAUCAAUUUCUAUCUACCGUGAGAUGUCUACUGAGAGCAGACCCUACGUCCUGUUUCAUCUACACAAAGGUGAUUAACUCCCAGAGUCUCAGGAUCCACAGUUUGCAGGACGAGUCCAGUGGGACAAAGACGUCCUCCCAGAAGGACGCCUCACACUUCAUGUCUCCAGACUCAGGACCAGUGACUCUGGGUUUUAUGUGUGUGCCAUACGCACACCUGAUGGGAGUAACUCUAGGAGAUGCUGGCUCAACGUCACUGCCAUGACGAUGGAAGUGACCAUUCUUGAGACUUCUGAAGGCUCCUUUAUAUGUGAGACUGAAGCAAAUCCACCUGCAAACUUCGCCUGGAGCAGAAACGACCUCCUGUGGCCGCAGUCUGCUGUCAGAGAGGGUGCAGUGCUACGGUUCAAGGACAUGACCUCUGACCUUAAUGGCCUCUACGAGUGUGAAGCAUCCAACCAACAUGGAAGUAAACAACAACAGCACUACAGUAUGUGUAUGUGGCUUCAGGAAACGGCACUAUUUGUUGGGUCUUAUUCAGCCUUUUGUUCAUCCCGAGUGUCGCUGCUGUGGCUGCAGCAGGGUACCUUUAUAAAUCUGGAAGGAUUCAAUGGAGAGGCAGUCGGUCCCAACAAAUUCACCUCCACCUGAAGAGGGGCGAGUUUUACAAGAAUCACAUCUGUUGGUGAUAUCCACCUUUUGCCCUUUGUUAACUCAUCAAAAAAAUAAAUGACUUAAAAACAAA
Gymnodraco acuticeps is the source of this 1021-nucleotide RNA transcript. RefSeq lists it as uncharacterized. The record is from RefSeq and is a predicted model, not a curated record. Lineage: Eukaryota; Metazoa; Chordata; Actinopteri; Perciformes; Bathydraconidae. The transcript has 4 exons.